Molecule: ribosomal RNA, 406 nt
Filed under: uncultured bacterium
Lineage: Bacteria
Description: bacterial SSU rRNA
Rfam family: Bacterial small subunit ribosomal RNA
Source: RNAcentral
UGGGGAAUUUUGUGCAAUGGGCGAAAGCCUGACACAGCGACACCGCGUGAACGAAGAAGCCCUUUGGGGUGUAAAGUUCUGUCAGCUGGAACGAAAAAAAUGACGGUACCAGCAGAGGAAGCAUCGGCUAACUACGUGCCAGCAGCCGCGGUAAGACGUAGGAUGCAAGCGUUGUCCGGAUUUAUUGGGCGUAAAGAGUUCGUAGGCGGUUCGUUAAGUCUGAUGUUAAAGAUCAGGGCUCAACCCUGGGAGUGCAUUGGAUACUGGCGGACUGGAGUGUGGUAGAGGCUAGUGGAAUUCCCAGUGUAGCGGUGAAAUGCGUAGAUAUUGGGAAGAACACCGGUGGCGUAGGCGACUAGCUGGGCCAUAACUGACGCUGAGGAACGAAAGCCAGGGGAGCGAAUGG